CUGUGGAAGGCAGCCCCUUCCCUUUGGAGCGCAGCUCCGGCUCGUGGCUGACACCCAUCCUCACCUCAGUCUCCGGGAUUUGGGGCUGCUGCUGGAAAAGAUUUUAUCCUUUGGCGGAUGCUGCGAGUACGCGCUUGCAGCGUACCUCGUAUUUCCUUGCAGGAGCAUAAAACUGAAGAGGAAGACCACCCAUCACAUCAUCUCAGCAGCUCCACUUUCUCUGCCACAACAUAAAGAGCAACACUCGUAUUUUUUUUCCCACUUCAAAUGACAGCACAGCUUUAAGCCGUGUUCCUCCAUGUUUGCCAAAGCGUUUCCAAGUCUUAGGCGUCUGGUUUUUCAAAGAGCAGGUGAAAAGCUUAGCUCCCAGUGAAAUGCAUGAAGUCUGAAAAAGAGGUCAUCUCAGAAACCUUUUAUCUAACACAUCUUUAAAGAAGCUAUUUCUCUCCAUGUCUGGCAGCACCCGUUGCCAGUCGAGACAAGAAAAGAGCACUUGUGGGAAGGGGAUGCGCUGGUUCUGCUCAGCGGAGCAUCCGGAGAGGAGGACAGAGUCUCUCAGGAAAAGCCUGAAGCCUUGCCGUAAGGACACGGGACACAUCAAAUGGUGCACAACAUACAGACAGAGCCAUGAAUCCACCUGAUCUUCACUUUCUGACUUCUUCUGAUCUAAUGAAAAUGCUAAACAAGGCAGGAUUUGCUAGGACCUUCCUGAGAGCAUCACAGACCCGAGGCGGACACCUUGGCUGGGCUGGGCCGGAGCCGACGAGCAGGGGGCGAAAACUCCCCAUUUCACGACAAACCUCUGCAGCCGCCCCAUCCAUCCUGUCAGCACAACGUUGGACUCUGCUUCGGGGAGCCCCUUCUCCAUCCUUCUUCAAAGGAAGGUGCGUUUCCUCCUUACCGGGGUUCUGCGAGAAAGAAGAGCUACACUGUAAAAAACCACUGCUAUCACUGCUAGAUAAAAACAACCGUGUUGUUUUAAAGGAAAUAAAGCACAGAACACAACUGCCAAGUGAACUCCUUGGCGGUCAGCUGGA
Molecule: long non-coding RNA, 1037 nt
Organism: Dromaius novaehollandiae (emu)
Lineage: Eukaryota; Metazoa; Chordata; Aves; Casuariiformes; Dromaiidae
Exons: 2
Source: RefSeq, a predicted model, not a curated record